AUGCAGAUAAGCAGAAGAGACUGUCCCUCUCCCUCACUAUUGUGGUGUCCCAGGCUUGGAGGGGGGUAGGGUUUUGUGAGGCAAGCUCUGUCCUGUGAAGCAGAGCAGAAAUGUAACAACUAAGCAGGACUUUAUGAGGUAUCCAGGAGAAUAGUGGAGAACUGUGCUCUGUGUCAGCAAUGCAAUCCAAAGGGAGUGAGCAAAGAAGCACCACCUGGGGGACGCUGAUGGGCUCACAGACCUAUGCAGCAUCUACAGAUUGAUUUUACUGAUUUACCUCCCUCUGAAGGGAAGCGACAUUUGCUGGUUAUAGUUGACCAGCUUACGGGAUGAGUCGAAGCCUAUCCUACAGCCCGAGCUACUGCAACUACCAUCUGCAAGAUUUUAGUCAAUGAAGUGAUUCCGAGGUUUGGCCCCCCUGAGGUAAAAGCAUACAAGAAGACUCCGCUUCAACCGCAGUGGCUGGGACCCUUUGAGAUCCUUCUGACAAGCCCUACCGCCGUCCGAGUAAAGGAGUUACCUACUUGGACCCAUCCCACCAGACUCAAGAGGAGCACUGCUCGGGAACCUGACCUGGUAAAAGGUUUCCCAGAAGCAGACAACGUCGGACUUUGAGGGAGCUGCCCAUGGUCACCCCACCGCGAACCGGGUGAACCAGAAGCAGACGACACCUGUGCCCCAGACAAAUGGACUGUUACCCCUUUGGGCGACCUGAAGCUCCGACUCGCAAGGAAACUGUAACUUGGUUAUGUCUUUUUUCAAAAGGAUGGCCCAACUUGCUAGCAUGAGUCUUCCUGUUUUUGUUCUGUUUAUUAUUUGUUAUCCUCCUUCUUUGGGGUUUCGGGGAGUUAAGAUUGUAAAAUCUCUUAAUUCAAUGUCAAUGUCUAUGCAAUGUAUUUGGGGUUUCCUUUCCUUAUUUCCAAAGUCAACACUAGGAUGGGAGGGUAACAGUUUCCUAAGUUUAACUCACACCAUAAUUCAAAGUGUAAAUCAAACACAAUGCUGGGUUUGCAUUCAUACCCCCACACACAUAGGCCAGGGAAUCCCAUUGAAAGGGGUACCUAUUCCCCUUAAUCGAGCCUUCCAGGCCAGGUUAUGGAUGAACACUACCUUCACUUGGAGUGCUGCAAUCCAAACAUGGUCCAUUGACAUGGUAGCCCAAGGUAGUUAUGUUUCGUGUGUGUCACGAAAGAAGACCACACAUAACACUUUUUGUGGGCAAUUAUACACGGUGUGGUGACACCUCUCGGAUCAGUUCUAAUGUGGCAAGUUUUUCCAAUUUCUCCAGGGCCCCAUGGCCGGUCCCUGAGGAAUCUAGCUGGUAUUAGCUAUGCAAUUACAUAUGGCACGUGUACCUUGGGGGCCAUAGUGCCAGCUGUCACGGUACAUCAAACUUUGAACCAAGGGGAGAUCCGUAAUCUUGCAUGGCGAAACAGAAGAAGCGUUCCUACAAAUCCCCUGUCUGACAAGCCCACAGGCUUUCAUUCCUUUGUACGCUGGUUUCUACCUUGGGUAGGAGUUAGUGAAUUGGAAAAGGCUAUAGUAAAUAUUUCAGCAGCAUUGGAAGUUAUGGCAAAUGCUACUGCAGACGCCUUAUCCGCUCUUCAAAUUGAACUAACCCAAUUGUCUCAAACAGCUAUACAAAAUCGUUUGGCUCUGAAUUAUCUCCUUGAUAAUCAGGGUGGAGUUUGUGCCCUAGUUAACUCUAGCUGGUGUGUGUUUGUAAACCAACACCAACAGGUGGAGACCGACAUUCAUGCCAUUAUGCAGCAAGCUGCCUCAUUUCAUCGCAUUAGCCUUGACAAUACCAGCACCAGGUUCCAAAAGGUUUGGAACUGGUUGACUUCAUGGUUACCUGAUUUGGGGGCGUGGGGCUGGCGUAUAUUGUACCUGGCUUUAUGUGCACUCCUCUUCUUUAUUAUAAUCUUUGUGCUUAUACAAUGUUGCCACAUUUGCUGUCCCCAAUUCUUAACUUGCUCCAAACAUUGUUUUGCCCCAAUAUAGCAUAUUCACAUGAGUAACCACGCCUGCUUAUAUUUGUUUGUGCUAUUGUCCCAAGAGUCCCAUCAUGGUCCUCUAGGGACAAAGGGGGGACUGUUAGGCCUUACUGGAAAUGUAUCACAAAGCCAGUUAUGCCAACCUGAACAAAGUCAGGCUAACAGAGGCUUCUGGGUAAUUCAUAAAUGGAAAACGCCCGGGAGCUAUCUGUCUCUCACAGAGUCAGGCAACUAUAAGAUAAGAAAGGAAUGGCAUUCCUGGCAUGGUACCAGAUGUACUGUGUUAGGAACAAUGGCAAAACUCCCUCUUUCUGGUCUCUGUUUCUUUCUGACUCCCUCAUUAUUACUCACAUAAAUCAUAUCAUGCUUGUUUGUAGUAAUUGUUAAGGCAGUAUUAUUCAUAUUAAUCAAUUAGUUUUAACAAAAAAAUAUAUACAUAAUAAAGGUUUUGGGUUUUAGUCAUUAGUAAAAGGGAGUUGGACUGCUAAAUGAAAUGAAUUUGUGACGCGACGAAACAGUCUAUAAAAUCAUAUGCUAGUUGUAAAGAAGCAAGCUGGUUCUCUCUGGAG
Chelonoidis abingdonii (Abingdon island giant tortoise) is the source of this 2566-nucleotide long non-coding RNA. RefSeq lists it as uncharacterized. The record is from RefSeq and is a predicted model, not a curated record. Lineage: Eukaryota; Metazoa; Chordata; Testudines; Testudinidae.